This 245-nucleotide ribosomal RNA is filed under the name uncultured bacterium. Its description in RNAcentral is "partial 16S ribosomal RNA". It matches the Rfam family "Bacterial small subunit ribosomal RNA", at positions 524 to 768 of the family's 1533-position model. The record is from RNAcentral.
UACGUAGGGCGCAAGCGUUGUCCGGAAUUAUUGGGCGUAAAGAGCUCGUAGGCGGUCCGUCGCGUCUGCCGUGAAAACCCGAGGCUUAACCUCGGGCCUGCGGUGGAUACGGGCGGACUAGAGGUAGGUAGGGGAGAAUGGAAUUCCCGGUGUAGCGGUGAAAUGCGCAGAUAUCGGGAGGAACACCGGUGGCGAAGGCGGUUCUCUGGGCCUUACCUGACGCUGAGGAGCGAAAGCAUGGGGAG